This 253-nucleotide ribosomal RNA is filed under the name uncultured bacterium. RNAcentral describes it as "partial 16S ribosomal RNA". It matches the Rfam family "Bacterial small subunit ribosomal RNA", at positions 524 to 776 of the family's 1533-position model. The record is from RNAcentral.
UACAGAGGUCCCAAGCGUUGUUCGGAUUCACUGGGCGUAAAGGGUGCGUAGGUGGUGGGGUAAGUCGGAUGUGAAAGCUCGGAGCUCAACUCCGAAAUGGCAUUGGAAACUACCCUGCUAGAGGGUCGGAGGGGGGACUGGAAUUCUCGGUGUAGCAGUGAAAUGCGUAGAUAUCGAGAGGAACACCAGUGGCGAAGGCGAGUCCCGGGACGACUCCUGACACUGAGGCACGAAAGCUAGGGGAGCAAACAGG